GACGAACGCUGGCGGCGUGCUUAACACAUGCAAGUCGAACGGAGUGGCGAACGGGUGAGUAACACGUGGGUGAUCUGCCUUGCACUUCGGGAUAAGCUUGGGAAACUGGGUCUAAUACCGGAUAGUGCAAGAUGAGCUCGCGGCCAAUCAGCUUGUUGGUGGGGUAAUGGCCUACGAAGGCGUCGACGGGUAGCCGGCCUGAGAGGGUGUACGGCCACAUUGGGACUGGGAAUCAGCCCGGACUCCAACGGGAGGCAGCGGUGGGGAAUAGUGCGCAAUGGGCGGAAGCCUGAUGCAGCGACGCCGCGUGGGGGAUGAAGGCCUUCGGGUUGUAAACGCCGUUCGACAGGGACGCGGUACCUGUAUAAGACGCCCCGGCUAACUACGUGCCAGCAGCCGCGGUAAUAC
This 408-nucleotide ribosomal RNA is filed under the name uncultured bacterium. RNAcentral describes it as "partial 16S ribosomal RNA". It matches the Rfam family "Bacterial small subunit ribosomal RNA", at positions 28 to 526 of the family's 1533-position model. The record is from RNAcentral.